UCGUCUUGGAAAUUUAUCAAAGUAAAAUGUUUAGAUGUUCGCGAUUUACCGUUGAGAUGUCCCCUGGCGUUGUCAUCCAGGCAUAAAACAUGUAACCAGGUGUCCAUUGUACCAGAUUGAAAAUGAAGACGCCCUGUUACCGAAGGUCACAAUCAAGUUAAUGACAUUAACGUGAAAGUAAUAAACCCUUCCAUGGUGCAAAACUGAGAAUCUAGACCUAUAAGAAGAAGCAUGAAGAAAAACAGGCAAGACCAGAGAGGCGCUCCAGGAAGUUGAAGAACGGCCGAUGGAUAAGCCAAGAAAG
Colletes gigas is the source of this 304-nucleotide long non-coding RNA. RefSeq lists it as uncharacterized. NCBI's taxonomy places the organism in Eukaryota, Metazoa, Arthropoda, Insecta, Hymenoptera, Colletidae. The transcript is spliced from 3 exons. The record is from RefSeq and is a predicted model, not a curated record.